GUCUUCUUUCAAGAUGUGUUCUCUUGGCAUUUCAAGGUUUCAAUGCUCUCAAGCAAUUCAUCUUUUGGUCUUGACUGGUUUCAGAAAUUGGUGCUUUCAAACAAGGUAUGCUUAGGCAUGCAUACUGAUAUGAAGAUCUGUAGAGCAAAAAACUAUACUCCACACAAUGAUUCAUUGUUGAUUUCUAAUAGAAGAGUUUGCCAAUUAUUGCCUUGAAACAUGGUGGAUUGCUUGUGGAGCGCCUGAGAUCUCCAAAAGCCUAAAGAGAUGUUUUCAUUGUUUGAGAAAGGUUGCUAUUCAUGGGCUGCUAGUAAUUAUGGGUAAGGAACCUGCACAAUAGGAGAAGCUUCUUUUGUGGAAGCAAUUUUUCUCUUAAACUUUGUUAUUUAUUAUUUUAUAAUUAUCUGUUGUUUAUGAUGCAUGUUAAAACAUAAAGGAAGAAGAAAGAAAUAAUGAGAUUUUUACUUAUCGUUUUCUUUUUUCAAACCCAUUUUCUAAUAGAAAAAUCUCAAAUAAUAUAUAUGUAUUUUUUUUUUUUACUUUUAAUAUAAUAUAAACUAUGUGAAAGGAGAUUCGAACUCGAGUGCAGAAUGAGGCACAUCAGCUCUAACCAAUUUAGUUAAGUAUAUAUAUGCAAAUAAUAUAUAUUAAAAAAAAACAAUUAAUCAUGUUAUCAA
Molecule: long non-coding RNA, 677 nt
Filed under: Prunus dulcis (almond)
Lineage: Eukaryota; Viridiplantae; Streptophyta; Magnoliopsida; Rosales; Rosaceae
Description: sRNA ncRNA
Source: RNAcentral